AUGAACGCUGGCGGCGUGCCUCAUACAUGCAAGUCGAGCGAACAGACGAGGAGCUUGCUCCUCUGAUGUUAGCGGCGGACGGGUGAGUAACACGUGGAUAACCUACCUAUAAGACUGGGAUAACUUCGGGAAACCGGAGCUAAUACCGGAUAACAUGUUGAACCGCAUGGUUCAACAGUGAAAGACGGUCUUGCUGUCACUUAUAGUUGAAUCCGCGCCGCAUUAGCUAGUUGGUAAGGUAACGGCUUACCAAGGCAACGAUGCGUAGCCGACCUGAGAGGGUGAUCGGCCACACUGGAACUGAGACACGGUCCAGACUCCUACGGGAGGCAGCAGUAGGGAAUCUUCCGCAAUGGGCGAAAGCCUGACGGAGCAACGCCGCGUGAGUGAAGAAGGUCUUCGGAUCGUAAAACUCUGUUAUUAGGGAAGAACAAAUGUGUAAGUAACUAUGCACGUCUUGACGGUACCUAAUCAGAAAGCCACGGCUAACUACGUG
Molecule: ribosomal RNA, 496 nt
Filed under: uncultured bacterium
Lineage: Bacteria
Description: partial 16S ribosomal RNA
Rfam family: Bacterial small subunit ribosomal RNA
Source: RNAcentral